AACGAACGCUGGCGGCAUGCCUAACACAUGCAAGUCGAACGAGACCUUCGGGUCUAGUGGCGCACGGGUGCGUAACGCGUGGGAACCUGCCUUUAGGUUCGGAAUAACUCAGAGAAAUUUGAGCUAAUACCGGAUGAUGUCUUCGGACCAAAGAUUUAUCGCCUUUAGAUGGGCCCGCGUUGGAUUAGCUAGUUGGUGGGGUAAAGGCCUACCAAGGCGACGAUCCAUAGCUGGUCUGAGAGGAUGAUCAGCCACACUGGGACUGAGACACGGCCCAGACUCCUACGGGAGGAAGCAGUGGGGAAUAUUGGACAAUGGGCGAAAGCCUGAUCCAGCAAUGCCGCGUGAGUGAUGAAGGCCUUAGGGUUGUAAAGCUCUGUUAACCGAGAAGAUAAUGACAGUAUCGGGAGAAUAAGCUCCGGCUAACUCCGUG
Molecule: ribosomal RNA, 433 nt
Filed under: uncultured bacterium
Lineage: Bacteria
Description: partial 16S ribosomal RNA
Rfam family: Bacterial small subunit ribosomal RNA
Source: RNAcentral